This 1279-nucleotide ribosomal RNA is filed under the name metagenome. RNAcentral describes it as "bacterial LSU rRNA". It matches the Rfam family "Bacterial large subunit ribosomal RNA", at positions 1658 to 2925 of the family's 2925-position model. The record is from RNAcentral.
GCCAGGUGGUCAGGUAGAGAAUACCAAGGAGAUCGAGAGAAUCGUGGUUAAGGAACUCGGCAAAAUGCCCCCGUAACUUCGGGAGAAGGGGGGCCUGAGGCGUGAAGGGAUUUACUCCUGGAGCGUUUGAAGGCCGCAGAGACCAGUGGGAAGCGACUGUUUACUAAAAACACAGGUCCGUGCUAAGUCGCAAGACGAUGUAUACGGACUGACGCCUGCCCGGUGCUGGAAGGUUAAGAGGAACGGUUAGCCGUAAGGCGAAGCUGAGAAUUUAAGCCCCAGUAAACGGCGGUGGUAACUAUAACCACCCUAAGGUAGCGAAAUUCCUUGUCGGGUAAGUUCCGACCUGCACGAAUGGCGUAACGACUUCCCAGCUGUCUCAACCGCGAACUCGGCGAAAUUGCACUACGAGUAAAGAUGCUCGUUACGCGCAGAAGGACGGAAAGACCCCGUGACCUUUACUAUAGCUUUGUAUUGGUGUUCGGUGUGGCUUGUGUAGGAUAGGUGGGAGACUUUGAAGCUUGGACGCUAGUUCAGGUGGAGUCAUUGUUGAAAUACCACUCUGGUCACUCUGGAUAUCUAACUUCGGACCGUAAUCCGGUUCAGGGACAGUGCAUGGUGGGUAGUUUAACUGGGGCGGUUGCCUCCCAAAAAGUAACGGAGGCGCCCAAAGGUUCCCUCAACCUGGUUGGUAAUCAGGUGUCGAGUGUAAGUGCACAAGGGAGCUUGACUGUGAGAGUGACAACUCGAGCAGGGACGAAAGUCGGGACUAGUGAUCCGGCAGUGGCUUGUGGAAGCGCUGUCGCUCAACGGAUAAAAGGUACCUCGGGGAUAACAGGCUGAUCUUGCCCAAGAGUCCAUAUCGACGGCAUGGUUUGGCACCUCGAUGUCGGCUCGUCGCAUCCUGGGGCUGGAGUAGGUCCCAAGGGUUGGGCUGUUCGCCCAUUAAAGCGGUACGCGAGCUGGGUUUAGAACGUCGUGAGACAGUUCGGUCCCUAUCCUCUGCGCGCGCAGGAAAUUUGAGAAGAGCUAUCCCUACGAGAGGACCGGGAUGGACGAACCUCUGGUGUGUCAGUUGUUCCGCCAGGAGCACCGCUGAUUAGCUACGUUCGGAACGGAUAACCGCUGAAAGCAUCUAAGCGGGAAGCCGGCUUCAAGAUGAGAUUUCCAUGGCUUAGGCCGAGAGACCCGCAGCUAGACUACUGCGUUGAUAGGCUGGAUGUGGAAGUGGGGACUAAAGACCCAUGGAGCUGACCAGUACUAAUAGGUCGAUAAAUUG